CCUACGGGAGGCAGCAGUAGGGAAUCUUCCACAAUGGACGAAAGCCUGAUGGAGCAACGCCGCGUGAGUGAAGAAGGGUUUCGGCUCGUAAAACUCAGUAUCGGAGAAGAACGUACUUGGUAGUAACUGGCCAGCUAGG
Molecule: ribosomal RNA, 139 nt
Filed under: uncultured bacterium
Lineage: Bacteria
Description: partial 16S ribosomal RNA
Rfam family: Bacterial small subunit ribosomal RNA
Source: RNAcentral